This 447-nucleotide ribosomal RNA is filed under the name uncultured bacterium. Its description in RNAcentral is "partial 16S ribosomal RNA". It matches the Rfam family "Bacterial small subunit ribosomal RNA", at positions 29 to 523 of the family's 1533-position model. The record is from RNAcentral.
AGCGAACGCUGGCGGCAGGCUUAACACAUGCAAGUCGAACGCCCCGCAAGGGGAGUGGCAGACGGGUGAGUAACACGUGGGAACGUACCCUUUGGUUCGGAAUAACUUGGGGAAACUCAAGCUAAUACCGGAUAAGCCCUUAUGGGGAAAGGUUUACUGCCGAAGGAUCGGCCCGCGUCUGAUUAGCUAGUUGGUGAGGUAACGACUCACCAAGGCGACGAUCAGUAGCUGGUCUGAGAGGAUGAUCAGCCACACUGGGACUGAGACACGGCCCAGACUCCUACGGGGGGCAGCAGUGGGGAAUAUUGGACAAUGGGGGCAACCCUGAUCCAGCCAUGCCGCGUGAGUGAUGAAGGCCUUAGGGUUGUAAAGCUCUUUUACCCGGGACGAUAAUGACUGUACCGGGAGAAUAAGCCCCGGCUAACUUCGUGCCAGCCGCCGCCGUAA